RNAcentral lists this long non-coding RNA (200 nucleotides) under Lathyrus oleraceus (garden pea). Its description in RNAcentral is "Pisum sativum (pea) long non-coding RNA (PSAT_LNC016368)". The record is from RNAcentral. Lineage: Eukaryota; Viridiplantae; Streptophyta; Magnoliopsida; Fabales; Fabaceae.
UUAAUAGAAUGUACUUAAAGUAUGGAUGAAAAAUAUUAAGAAAACUAUUCUUUGAAGAAAUUGUUUUGAGAAAGUAAAAAUAAAAAUGAAAAUAUUUAUGAAAAUAAAAAAUUUACUUAACCCAAAAACAAAAGUAGAAGAAAAAUUGAAACAACUUAGGCUAUAUAGUUGAAUUUUUUACUCAAAUACCCCAUAUUUUC